This 456-nucleotide ribosomal RNA is filed under the name uncultured bacterium. Its description in RNAcentral is "SSU rRNA". It matches the Rfam family "Bacterial small subunit ribosomal RNA", at positions 26 to 518 of the family's 1533-position model. The record is from RNAcentral.
AGAAUCAACGCUGGCGGCGUGCCUAACACAUGCAAGUCGAACGAGAAAGUGGAGCAAUCCAUGAGUAAAGUGGCGCACGGGUGAGUAACACGUGACUAACCUACCUUUUAGUGGGGGAUAACCUAGGGAAACCUGGGCUAAUACCGCAUAACACUUACGAGUCAAAGCAGCAAUGCGCUGAAAGAGGGGGUCGCGGCCGAUUAGCUAGUUGGCGGGGUAAUGGCCCACCAAGGCAGUGAUCGGUAUCCGGCCUGAGAGGGCGCACGGACACACUGGAACUGAAACACGGUCCAGACUCCUACGGGAGGCAGCAGUGGGGAAUUUGCGCAAUGGGGGAAACCCUGACGCAGCAACGCCGCGUGGAGGAUGAAGUCCCUUGGGACGUAAACUCCUUUCGAUCGGGACAUAAUGACGGUACCGGAAGAAGAGCCCGGCUAACUUCGCGCCAGCAGCCGC